AGUGAACGCUGGCGGUAGGCCUAACACAUGCAAGUCGAACGGCAGCACAGUAAGAGCUUGCUCUUACGGGUGGCGAGUGGCGGACGGGUGAGGAAUACAUCGGAAUCUACUUUUUCGUGGGGGAUAACGUAGGGAAACUUACGCUAAUACCGCAUACGACCUACGGGUGAAAGCAGGGGAUCUUCGGACCUUGCGCGAUUGAAUGAGCCGAUGUCGGAUUAGCUAGUUGGCGGGGUAAAGGCCCACCAAGGCGACGAUUCGUAGCCGGUCUGAGAGGCUGAUCAGCCACCCUGGAACUGAGCCAGGGUCCAGACGCCUACGGGAGGCAGCAGUGGGGAAUAUUGGACAAUGGGCGCAAGCAUGAUCCAGUCAUACCGCGUGGGUGAAGAAGGCCUUCGGGUUGUAAAGACCUUUUGUUGGGAAAGAAAAGCAGCAGGUUAAUACCCAGCUGUUCUGACGGUACCCAAAGAAUAAGCACCGGCUAACUUCGUG
Molecule: ribosomal RNA, 492 nt
Filed under: uncultured bacterium
Lineage: Bacteria
Description: partial 16S ribosomal RNA
Rfam family: Bacterial small subunit ribosomal RNA
Source: RNAcentral